Molecule: ribosomal RNA, 482 nt
Filed under: uncultured bacterium
Lineage: Bacteria
Description: partial 16S ribosomal RNA
Rfam family: Bacterial small subunit ribosomal RNA
Source: RNAcentral
AUUGAACGCUGGCGGCAUGCCUUACACAUGCAAGUCGAACGGUAACAGGUCUUCGGAUGCUGACGAGUGGCGAACGGGUGAGUAAUACAUCGGAACGUGCCCGAUCGUGGGGGAUAACGGAGCGAAAGCUUUGCUAAUACCGCAUACGAUCUACGGAUGAAAGCAGGGGACCGCAAGGCCUUGCGCGGACGGAGCGGCCGAUGGCAGAUUAGGUAGUUGGUGGGAUAAAAGCUUACCAAGCCGACGAUCUGUAGCUGGUCUGAGAGGACGACCAGCCACACUGGGACUGAGACACGGCCCAGACUCCUACGGGAGGGAGCAGUGGGGAAUUUUGGACAAUGGGCGAAAGCCUGAUCCAGCCAUGCCGCGUGCAGGAUGAAGGCCUUCGGGUUGUAAACUGCUUUUGUACGGAACGAAAAGACUCUUUCUAAUAAAGAGGGUCCAUGACGGUACCGUAAGAAUAAGCACCGGCUAACUACGUG